RNAcentral lists this ribosomal RNA (482 nucleotides) under uncultured bacterium. RNAcentral describes it as "partial 16S ribosomal RNA". It matches the Rfam family "Bacterial small subunit ribosomal RNA", at positions 28 to 507 of the family's 1533-position model. The record is from RNAcentral.
GACGAACGCUGGCGGCGUGCUUAACACAUGCAAGUCGAACGAUGAAGCCGAGCAACGCUAACUUCGGUUCAAAUUUCACUUCUGAUUAGCGGCAGACGGGUGUGUCACGCGUGAGCAACCUACCUCUUACAACGGGAUCGCCUCGGGAAACCGUGCUUCAUCCCAUAUGACACAUUCAUAAGGCAUCUUCAGAUUGUUAUAGCUACGGCGGUAAUAGAUGGGCUCGCGUCCGAUUAGCUAGGUGGUGCGGUAACGGCCCACCAAGGCGACGAUGGGGAACCGGGCGGGGAGGGUGAACGGUCACGAUGGAACUGAGGCACGGACCAAACUGCGACGGGGGGCAGCAGUAGGGAAUAUAGCAGAAGGGAGGGAGCUGUGAUGCAGCGACGCCGCGGGAGAGAUGAAGGGAGUCGUUUCGUGAAGCUCUGUUCGAUGGGAAGAAAAGGACGGUACCAUAGGAGAAAGCACCGGCUAAAUACGUG